UGAGUAUUCUAGGUCUUUGUUCUCUUUCUUAUGUCUGUGUGGGAAGCAUUUAACAUGCCUCUGAAGGGCAUUUCGGAAAUGUUUUGUCCUUCAAUUUUUUAAAUACAUUCAGCGUGAAAAUCUGCAGACCUCAUAUUCAGCGUAGAAAUCUGAUGAUUUCAUAGGAUUUGCUCAUUUCCCCUCCUCAGUGCACGCCGCAUGUGUAAAUCUUCAUCUCCUUGCCACUCAUUUAUUCAAUUAUUGUUCUACCCUUUCUGAUUUCAUGCAAUUUUUUCUUGCCGGAUUUUUUCCUUUUCACCCCUGGUUGGUUGCCGCAUGUAUGUAAGUUCUGAUUUUUUGGCUUUUCAUUUAUUAAAUUUCUGAGCUGAAUAUUUCUAUUACUGAUUUGUAUUGGCAGCACAUAAUUUGUACAUAUUUUGUAGCAAAUGUAUUAAAUGCAUAGGUGAUUUUUCCUUCCUUGAUUCUCUGAAAUGGUUAGGAAUUUUACAGGAAAAAAUCCCCCCAUUUUCUGCCCUUU
Long non-coding RNA from Morus notabilis, 517 nucleotides. RefSeq lists it as uncharacterized. The record is from RefSeq and is a predicted model, not a curated record. The transcript is spliced from 3 exons. NCBI's taxonomy places the organism in Eukaryota, Viridiplantae, Streptophyta, Magnoliopsida, Rosales, Moraceae.